GCUAGUUGUGCGGGUUUAGACCCGCAGCGGAAAGCUCAGUAACACGUGGCCAAACUACCCUGUGGAUGGGAACAAUCUCGGGAAACUGAGGCUAAUUCCCAAUAACGCUCCACCCCUGGAACGGGCGGAGCUGGAAACGCUACGGCGCCACAGGAUGUGGCUGCGGUCGAUUAGGUAGACGGUGGGGUAACGGCCCACCGUGCCAAUAAUCGGUACGGGUUGUGAGAGCAAGAGCCCGGAGACGGAAUCUGAGACAAGAUUCCGGGCCCUACGGGGCGCAGCAGGCGCGAAACCUUUACACUGUACGCAAGUGCGAUAAGGGGACUCCGAGUGUGAAGGCAUAGAGCCUUCACUUUUGUACACCGUAAGGUGGUGUACGAAUAAGGGCUGGGCAAGACCGGUGCCAGCCGCCGCGGUAAUACCGGCAGCCCGAGUGAUGGCCGAUAUUAUUGGGCCUAAAGCGUCCGUAGCUGGCCGGACAAGUCCGUUGGGAAAUCUGUUCGCUUAACGAGCAGGCGUCCAGCGGAAACUGUUCGGCUUGGGACCGGAAGACCUGAGGGGUACGUCCGGGGUAGGAGUGAAAUCCUGUAAUCCUGGACGGACCACCGGUGGCGAAAGCGCCUCAGGAGGACGGAUCCGACAGUGAGGGACGAAAGCUAGGGUCUCGAACCGGAUUAGAUACCCGGGUAGUCCUAGCUGUAAACGAUGCCCGCUAGGUGUGGCGCAGGCUACGAGCCUGCGCUGUGCCGUAGGGAAGCCGAGAAGCGGGCCGCCUGGGAAGUACGUCUGCAAGGAUGAAACUUAAAGGAAUUGGCGGGGGAGCACUACAACCGGAGGAGCCUGCGGUUUAAUUGGACUCAACGCCGGACAUCUCACCAGCUCCGACAGUAGUAAUGACGGUCA
RNAcentral lists this ribosomal RNA (903 nucleotides) under Halobacterium sp. RNAcentral's name for it is "bacterial SSU rRNA". It matches the Rfam family "Archaeal small subunit ribosomal RNA", at positions 53 to 956 of the family's 1478-position model. The record is from RNAcentral. Lineage: Archaea; Methanobacteriati; Methanobacteriota; Halobacteria; Halobacteriales; Halobacteriaceae.